AGUUUUAUUAAAGAAGUGAUUUAUUUCAAUCCUCAGGAUCUGAUUCUCCCACUAUGCCUAACAUAUAGAACCACCACCAGGACAAGGAAGAGCAAUUAACCCAGUGUGGUAUGAAUGUACUUUCCUUCGUUAUUUGGUAUGGUGAUGGAGAGAGAAAAUUAGAAGCCUGUGACUCAUCUUAGUCUGCCAUCAUUCAGAGAUUUUUCAUUUGCAAUUAGUGAGUACCUCUUGUUGGAAAGAGUUUUGCUUUUGUUGUAAUCAUUUUGCUUUCAGAUUUCUGUAGGUUAGAAAUGUAGUGACAACAUUUAGCUCUAAU
This 316-nucleotide long non-coding RNA is filed under the name Monodelphis domestica (gray short-tailed opossum). RNAcentral's name for it is "lncRNA (ENSMODG00000041914.1)". Lineage: Eukaryota; Metazoa; Chordata; Mammalia; Didelphimorphia; Didelphidae. The record is from RNAcentral.